UUAUGCACAUUAGGUCAUGAUAACUUUGACACUAAUUUUGCACAUUGGUGAUUCGUCUUCGGCCUUGUCUUGAGAGCAUCGGCCUUGACUCUUCUUACGAGUUUACACCAAUUUUGCACUUCGGUGUCUUGGUGACUUUACACCAAUUUUGCACCUUCUUCUCUUGAUGUUCUUCUAAGUGACCCGAACUUUGCACGGCUAUGAUCAAA
Molecule: long non-coding RNA, 209 nt
Filed under: Arabidopsis lyrata
Lineage: Eukaryota; Viridiplantae; Streptophyta; Magnoliopsida; Brassicales; Brassicaceae
Description: long non-coding RNA (ALYR_LNC000022)
Source: RNAcentral